Long non-coding RNA from Gopherus evgoodei (Goodes thornscrub tortoise), 1974 nucleotides. RefSeq lists it as uncharacterized. The record is from RefSeq and is a predicted model, not a curated record. The transcript has 4 exons. Lineage: Eukaryota; Metazoa; Chordata; Testudines; Testudinidae.
AUGCUAAAAAAAUUACCAGAGAUCAUGCUGCUACUCCAACAAGGGCACUGGCUGCUGAGCAGUCCUUCAAAGCCACACAGGAAUUUUACUGUGGGGAUAAAUUCUUAAAAGCUGUUAGCUGAAAACAAGCACCCUUCCCCUGCCCUCCAAAUCUGUGAGUCACUUAUCCAGUUUGGGCCUCUGAUCCUCAUGUAACAGGUGAUCAGCAGAGAGUUUCUUCUCAGGAUCAAGGUGGGUAAUUUGCAUUCCACUCCUCGCAAAUAUUUCCUAGGAAACCCAUUCCACUAAAAGUUCUAUCCUGGCUAGUGCAUUGUUUAAAAUAGUCCUUUGAAGCUCAUAGCACUUCCCCUUAAAGAAGUGAUACACAAUCCCACAGUAAUGCAUUAACAUUUGCCCUUUUAAUACAAUGAACUCCUAAAACACUUAAAUGUAAAUUAUUGUAAAUGUAAAUGUAAUUGGCCAGGAAAUUGCCAGACCUGUCACAGUGACCAUUUGGGAAAGUGUCUGUAUAAACCCAUGAAUUCUGGAUGAUAAUUGUUACUAUUAAAACUGCUGUAUCUUGAGUACCUAUACGUAUGUUUAGCCACUGUUGCUGACAGGACCUGUAGCAGGUGCACACACCAGACAAGGACAACGGGAAAUACUUACGGUUAAUGAUGACAUUUUAGUCACAAUAGUUAUGCUAAAAAUAGCUGCAUCCUUAGAAGACCUGUGUUAUCUUAUCCCUCUGGAAGCAGAGGAGAAGGCAGGAGCAGUGGAAAUUUACCGGGAGCAGAACAAAAGCAGCCAGGAAGGAAACACACAAGAACAGAGGGAGAGCUAGACAGGAAGAGGAAACUGUGGCCUGAGACAGCAUGUGACAGUUUCAUGAGACAUGAGGGCCCAGCUUACUUUCCUGAGCCUGGAUGACUGCGAGACUGACCCCAGCUCCUCCCAAGGAUGCCAUGAAGUUGUGAGGCAGCCAAGGCAAGGAAAUGAACUCUAAGAAAUCAACGUGCAACAUGUGACUUCCAGCAACUGUCAGCGCAGCCCUGUGGAAAGGAAACCAAGCAGCACAGCACCGUAAGGAAACUGACACAUGAAAGGAAACUGGACACAUUCUGUGGUAUGGGGAAACAAGUACUGGGAGCUGAAUGAUUGAAGCCUGGGUCAGUGCCCAAACCAGGAAAAGAAACCAGAGCUCCUGACUCCCUGAUCUGUGCUGGAAUAAAACUUAUCACUUAUUUGCAUAACAAUUGGAAGCUAACAUUAAUUAAUGAUUCUACCACCAGGCCACAGCCCUUUCUAACCACGCUAUUUUCUCUGGACUUUUUCUAUUAAAACUUAAUCCAGAUUUCCAAUCAACAGAGAUUUCCUACGGCUUGCCAACAUGCAUUGUAAUGUGGCCACUGAUGUUAGAUACAAGCUCACUGAACCUUCUGUGGAAUAAACCUCCAGAUCUCCCUGCCACCCACUUGAGGUUUAUUCCAGAGAAGGUUCAGUGGUGAACAGAGUGGAACAGUAUUUUUCCUGCUUAAAUUGUUGUAUAGUGUUGUUGUGGUGCACUGUCCAAUAGUUACCAUGUUUCACCCAGGAGGCAGCCAUUUGUGAUGGGUGAAGUGACCCUUUGCAUAUCAAUGUGUAUAGCACUUUGGGAUCCUUUAGGUUGAAAGCUAGUUGACAGAGUCACCAGGUGGUCGGCUGAGGUGGGUUGGAGUAGGGGCUGGCUAGUGUAGAAACAGGCACAGCUAGAGCAGAAGCAGGAGGUUGAAACUACUGGCAAUAGGAAUAGUAGUGACCCUGAUCACACUGCUUCCCUUAAGAGCCUAUGUACUUGCCUUGGCAUUACCUAGGUCAGUGGUUUUCAAUCUUUUUUCAUUUGCAGACUCCUAAAAUAUUUUGAAUGGAGGGUGGAAAUCUUAGACCCAGUCUGCAGACCUCAGGGGUCCAUGGAUCACAGGUUGAAAACCACUGUUCUAUGGUAACUAGAGCUGU